This is a non-coding RNA of Desmophyllum pertusum, 71 nucleotides long. NCBI's taxonomy places the organism in Eukaryota, Metazoa, Cnidaria, Anthozoa, Scleractinia, Caryophylliidae. The record is from the annotation of a GenBank genome assembly.
UCUCCUGUAGCUCAGUGGUAGAGCGUCCGACCAUUGUGCGGAAGGUCAUAUAUUCAUUCUUUUUGGGAGAA